Molecule: ribosomal RNA, 106 nt
Filed under: Peribacillus frigoritolerans
Lineage: Bacteria; Bacillati; Bacillota; Bacilli; Caryophanales; Bacillaceae
Also listed under: 2 other names
Source: RNAcentral
AUAGCGAAGAGGUCACACCCGUUCCCAUUCCGAACACGGCAGUUAAGCUCUUCAGCGCCGAUGGUAGUUGGGGGUUUCCCCCUGUGAGAGUAGGACGCCGCCAAGC